CAGCAAAUGAAGGGCACAAAGAAAAGAAGAAGCAUCACAAUUCAUUUUUUCGCCGGCAGUAGAGUAGGAGGGAGUGACGGCGCCUUUGAGUUUUUGGAGCAAGAAGGAGUGACGAUUUCAAAAAGUUUUGUCAUCUUCAUUUCGUAAUCGGUAUUGGUAUAAUUGUUAUCCUUUUUAUUGUCAUCAUUAUUAUGUGUAGUUAGUUUUUAUUGUCAAUAUUGGGUGAAUCUAUGGAACAAUUAAUCGAUUAGGAAUAUUUUUGUGUGGUUUUGAGGGUAUGUUAUGAAAAUAUUUUCUAGUAAAACAUCUAUUUAUAUUCA
Long non-coding RNA from Lactuca sativa (garden lettuce), 320 nucleotides. RefSeq lists it as uncharacterized. Lineage: Eukaryota; Viridiplantae; Streptophyta; Magnoliopsida; Asterales; Asteraceae. The record is from RefSeq and is a predicted model, not a curated record.